RNAcentral lists this ribosomal RNA (433 nucleotides) under uncultured bacterium. RNAcentral describes it as "partial 16S ribosomal RNA". It matches the Rfam family "Bacterial small subunit ribosomal RNA", at positions 29 to 507 of the family's 1533-position model. The record is from RNAcentral.
AACGAACGCUGGCGGCAUGCCUAACACAUGCAAGUCGAACGAGACCUUCGGGUCUAGUGGCGCACGGGUGCGUAACGCGUGGGAACCUGCCCUUAGGCACGGAAUAACACUCCGACAGGGGUGCUAAUACCGGAUAAUGUCUUCGGACCAAAGAUUGAUCGCCUUUGGAUGGGCCCGCGUUGGAUUAGCUAGUGGGUAGGGUAAAAGCCUACCAAGGCGACGAUCCAUAGCUGGUCUGAGAGGAUGAUCAGCCACACUGGGAGUGGGACACGGCCCAGACUCCUACGCGAGGCAGCAGUGGGUAAUAUUGCACUAUGGGCGAAAUGCUGAUCCAGCAAUGCCGGGUGAGUGAUUAAGUCCUUAGGGUUGUAAAGCUCUUUUACCCGGGAUGAUAAUGACGGUACCGGAAGAAUAAGCUCCGGCUAACUCCGUG